This 492-nucleotide ribosomal RNA is filed under the name uncultured bacterium. RNAcentral describes it as "partial 16S ribosomal RNA". It matches the Rfam family "Bacterial small subunit ribosomal RNA", at positions 29 to 507 of the family's 1533-position model. The record is from RNAcentral.
AUUGAACGCUGGCGGCAGGCCUAACACAUGCAAGUCGAACGGCAGCAGGGUAAGUGCUCGUGGUUACAGCGGGGGAGUGGUGGAUGGGGGCGGGGAACAUCGCAGGGUAUGAGUGCUCGGGGGAGAACGUAGGAGCACAUACGGCAUGAGGGCAGAGGAGGGACGGGGGAAAGCAUGGGACCUUCGGACCUUGCGCGAUCCAAUGAGGGAAUGUCGGAUUAGCUAGUUAGUGGGGUAAAGGCCCACCAAGGCGUCGAUCCGUAGCUGGUCUGAGAGGAGAAUCAGCCACACUGGAACUGAGACACGGUCCAGACUCCUACGGGAGGCAGCAGUGGGGAAUAUUGGACAAUGGGCGCAAGCCUGAUCCAGCCAUGCCGCGUGUGUGAAGAAGGCCUUCGGGUUGUAAAGCACUUUUGUUGGGGAAGAAAAGCAGUAGGUUAAUACCUGGCUGUUUUGACGGUACCAAAAGAAUAAGCACCGGCUAACUUCGUG